GGUUUACCUGUGUGACUGCGUACCUUUUGUAUAAUGGGUCAGCGACUUAUAUUCUGUAGCAAGGUUAACCGUAUAGGGGAGCCGUAGGGAAACCGAGUCUUAACCGGGCGUUAAGUUGCAGGGUAUAGACCCGAAACCCGGUGAUCUAGCCAUGGGCAGGUUGAAGGUUGGGUAACACUAACUGGAGGACCGAACCGACUAAUGUUGAAAAAUUAGCGGAUGACCUGUGGCUGGGGGUGAAAGGCCAAUCAAACCGGGAGAUAGCUGGUUCUCCCCGAAAGCUAUUUAGGUAGCGCCUCGUGAAUUCAUCUCCGGGGGUAGAGCACUGUUUCGGCUAGGGGGCCAUCCCGGCUUACCAACCCGAUGCAAACUGCGAAUACCGGAGAAUGUUAUCACGGGAGACACACGGCGGGUGCUAACGUCCGUCGUGAAGAGGGAAACAACCCAGACCGCCAGCUAAGGUCCCAAAGUCAUGGUUAAGUGGGAAACGAUGUGGGAAGGCCCAGACAGCCAGGAUGUUGGCUUAGAAGCAGCCAUCAUUUAAAGAAAGCGUAAUAGCUCACUGGUCGAGUCGGCCUGCGCGGAAGAUGUAACGGGGCUAAACCAU
This 607-nucleotide ribosomal RNA is filed under the name Salmonella enterica subsp. enterica serovar Heidelberg. Its description in RNAcentral is "partial 23S ribosomal RNA". It matches the Rfam family "Bacterial large subunit ribosomal RNA", at positions 582 to 1190 of the family's 2925-position model. The record is from RNAcentral. Lineage: Bacteria; Pseudomonadati; Pseudomonadota; Gammaproteobacteria; Enterobacterales; Enterobacteriaceae. RNAcentral also lists the same sequence under 3 other names.